GAUGAACGCUGGCGGCGUGCCUAAUACAUGCAAGUCGAGCGAACGGGCGAGAAGCUUGCUUCUCUGAUGUUAGCGGCGGACGGGUGAGUAACACGUGGAUAACCUACCUAUAAGACUGGGAUAACUUCGGGAAACCGGAGCUAAUACCGGAUAAUAUUUUGAACCGCAUGGUUCAAAAGUGAAAGACGGUCUUGCUGUCACUUAUAGAUGGAUCCGCGCUGCAUUAGCUAGUUGGUAAGGUAACGGCUUACCAAGGCAACGAUGCAUAGCCGACCGGAGAGGGUGAUCGGCCACACUGGAACUGAGACACGGUCCAGACUCCUACGGGAGGCAGCAGUAGGGAAUCUUCCGCAAUGGGCGAAAGCCUGACGGAGCAACGCCGCGUGAGUGAUGAAGGUCUUCGGAUCGUAAAACUCUGUUAUUAGGGAAGAACAUAUGUGUAAGUAACUGUGCACAUCUUGACGGUACCUAAUCAGAAAGCCACGGCUAACUACGUG
This 497-nucleotide ribosomal RNA is filed under the name uncultured bacterium. RNAcentral's name for it is "partial 16S ribosomal RNA". It matches the Rfam family "Bacterial small subunit ribosomal RNA", at positions 28 to 507 of the family's 1533-position model. The record is from RNAcentral.